GACAUUAAGACGUUAAUUAAUCGAUUAGGUACCAAUUUUGGGUGUGACGAGAGUGCUAACCCUUCCUCGCGCGUAACCGACUCCCAAACUCGUUUUCUCAAUUUCCGUAGACCAAAAUCAUUUGUUUUAAUAAAUCGAAAUAUUUUAUUAAAACGACCAAAUUUCUAGGUGAUUCAAUAACACCUAAAUAAAAAGGAUUGGUGGCGACUCCAUUCUCGUUUUUAAAUAAGUCGACGCCCUUUAUACAAAAAAAUGGUUUCGACAGGGUCCAAUAAAAAAUUUAGGCUCAUUUGUUGGACCCGGGCUUGGCCCGACCCGAAAAAUAGGCUUAAAAUUUU
RNAcentral lists this long non-coding RNA (338 nucleotides) under Gossypium barbadense (sea-island cotton). RNAcentral describes it as "long non-coding RNA (GBAR_LNC005769)". Lineage: Eukaryota; Viridiplantae; Streptophyta; Magnoliopsida; Malvales; Malvaceae. The record is from RNAcentral.